GAUGAACGCUGGCGGCGUGCCUAACACAUGCAAGUCGAGCGAACGGACGGGACUCUUUCUUCUCUGCUGUUAGCGGCGGGCGGGUGAUUAACACGUAGCUACCCGACCUUUGAGAAUGGCAUCCCUUCGGGGACCCGAAUCUCAUAUCGGACGAUAUUUUGAACGUCAUGGUUCUUCGGUGCUCGCCCUUCUUGCUGUCCCUAAUUCGUGUUACCUCGCUGCAUUAGCUAGUUGGUACGGUAACGGCUUACCAAGGCUACGAUGCAUAGCCGACCUGAGAGGAUGAUCGGUCACACUGGAACUGAGACACGGUCCAGACUCCUACGGGAGGCAGCAGUGGGGAAUAUUGGGCAAUGGGCGAAAGCCUGACGGAGCAAUGCCGCGUGUGUGAUGAAGGUCUUCGGAUCGUAAAGCACUGUUAGUAGGGAGGAACAGAAGUGAGAGAAAACGUGGAUAUCUUGACGGUACCAAAACAGAAAGCAACGGCUAACUACGUG
Molecule: ribosomal RNA, 497 nt
Filed under: uncultured bacterium
Lineage: Bacteria
Description: partial 16S ribosomal RNA
Rfam family: Bacterial small subunit ribosomal RNA
Source: RNAcentral